Molecule: long non-coding RNA, 3905 nt
Filed under: Olea europaea subsp. europaea
Lineage: Eukaryota; Viridiplantae; Streptophyta; Magnoliopsida; Lamiales; Oleaceae
Source: RNAcentral
CUUAGCUCCCACAAAUGAAAUUUGUCGUGAAACUUAUUUUUCUAACGGCAACCAUACGAUGUUGUUUUCAAUGUGUCUAACUAGGCAUUUCAGCUUGGGAUUUGAUAUUGACACAAAUAUAUACAUACAUAUAAUCUUCCCAUAUAUCUCUAUAUUUUAGCUUCUCCGCAGAAUUUAAUUGGGAAAAAAAAAUGAAUUAACUGCUGAAAUCCCUUAAUCCCAAGGGUGUUCUUGAUUCUCUCCUUGGCAAAUAAUUGCACAAUCUUGCAGAAAUUUAAUUUUAAUAAACAAGUGAGUUUUGAUUAAGUGGCGAUGACAUAUCACGCUACUGAUGAUGAUGGCAGAGCGGGAGAUUACGUGAAAUUACAAGACGGUGUUGAUGGUAAGGCGGCGUUUUCAGCGUCAUCCGGUUGUUGUGGCGGUGGUAGCGGAGGAUGGUGGCGAUCGUAGGGGUCUUGGCUGCUGUUUUGUUCAAACGGGUCGAACCCUUUUUUCAUGGAUAAGGUAAUUUGUUGUCUAGAAUAGUGAAGGAUGUUUGUUUUUCAAUUUUUUUUUUUUUUUUUUUUUUUUUUUUUUUUUUUUAAUUACAUUCAUUAAUAUGUAAUUUUAACUAUUAUUGGUUUCUGCAUGCAUAGAUACUGAAGUGUUCGUUUUUAUUUUAUGUAUUGUAGAGUAUUUCUGGUAAAUCGAAGGGGGCAAUGAUUUGUAUCAAUUUAAUUUUUCUUUCCUUUUUAGAUUUGGGGGCUUAGAAAAUUGCUCUUUGAUUUUAUAUUGGUUUGUAGUUUAAAUCUUGCCCACUCUUUUAUACGCACUCCUUAUCUGCAAAUUUAUAAUGGAAUUACUUCUUUUCAAUUCUCUUGUCCUCUUUCAUAUUUUGAAUGUUUAUUUUAUAUAUACAUGGGUGUCAGCUUAUGCAUCCAAAAAAUGACAGGAUUUUACAGUUUUGUUGUAAUGUUUGAUGAGCAAAAGUAUUACAAAAUACUAGAAAAGGUUGGUUGUUCUUACCUAUUCUACUUAGCUGGUAUAGUUUACCGAUGUGCUUGUCAUCUUCUGUUAUGUGGAUGGCAUUGCUGACAUAUAUGUAAUGUCCAUGAUUACGAGUCUGGUGAGAAGCCUAGAUAUCGUUUCAUGGUUGUUGAAGACACUAUUAAAAUGAUAUACAUGUGAUUUUGAUCAAGUAGUUCAACAUGAUAUUAAAGUAGAAAAAAGUCCAGAAUUCAAGUCUCGCCGUCACCCAUUAAAAUGAAAUUGUGCAUAUGUAAUGCUUUGAUGGGAAAAGGAUAAAUUUAGCCUACAAAUGACGGGACGUAUUGAACACGCAAUUCAAUUGAUAUACAUGUAACCAUGUUUAAUAGGGUAAAACUUUUAGAUCAAAUAGUUAACAAUGGUUUACAACAAUUCUCAUGGCACUUUUGUGGUCAUAAUGUUUUCCAAGUAUCAUUAUCAUUUUCCAGGUAAUUCCCAACAUAAAUUGGGAGAGGGAAACAUUCAGCAAGCCAAUGCUAGCGCUUCUAGUCUUCGGUUCAGUAGCAAUAUUUCCAACCUUGCUUUUACCUUCUAUACCUACCAUGUGGGCAGGAGGGAUGACUUUGGAUAUGGCUAUGAAUUUUUGCUUAUAAUUGUAGCAGUUGCAUUUGGAGUCUCCGUUCCAUAUUUCAUUGGUUCUAUCUUCCAUCCUAAAAUCCAAGUACGUCAUUUAAUUCUUAUAUAUUGUUUCUUAUGAUUAGUUUGCCUUAGCAUGGGUUUUAUAUUGUACUAAACUUGCCUAUAUAUUGUUCUUUCUGAUAGGCAUGGUUAGAUAGACAUCCGAAGAAAGCUUCCAAAAUAAGACUUAACUGGUGAGGGAACUUGGUUUAAUCAGUUCCAAGCUGUCACGUUGAUUAGAAUUUCUCCUUCCCCCAUGUCGUAUAUAAUUACGGUGCUGUGGCUUUGGAUGUUACAUACGGUCCUUACUUGUUGGGAACCCUGGUAGGAAUGAUGCCAGAAGUGUUUUUUUCAAUUUACACGUAAGGACUCUCUGUCCCUCUCUUGAUCAUUUGCUUCCUCUCCACACACGAAAAAACGGUUUGAGAUUGUUUUUGUAUGUAUUUAUCUAUUAAAAUGGAAAUUGUGGGAGUUCUUGUCAUUUGUGGUAUUUGGUGUAUAUAACUUCUACUGAAAGCUGAGCUCUAAACUGCCUUCUUGAUUUCUUCAUAAUCCAUAAUGAUGAUUGUCGUUUUAGUUAUAUUUGUUUAUGGUGAUUCCGUAUUUGAUCAGGGUCUUAUUUUGGUGCAAAUGUUUUGUAUUAAUAAAUUGUAAAAGCCUUUUCAUAUCUCUGUAAUGUAUAUUAUUUGUCUACAGUAACUUGCAGGAAAAAAAAAAGUAUAUACAUUUUAGUUGAAUCACUGGUUUUUAUGAAACACUAAAAUUAGACGGUACUUCUUUCUUUAUUUUAUUUUUUUUAUUUUAUUUUUUUAUUUAUUUUUUUGUAUAUGUGAUCUUUGUAUGAGUUUCCACACCAGUUGUGAUAAUCUUUAAGAUCAUUAAUUAGUUUUCUGUUGGCUUGUAUUCUAGUUCAUUAAUCGUGUGUGCAUGUACAUGUAUUAUUUGUAUGCCCAUGCCGGGGUGGUGGUGGUGCAGACCCACUUAAAUUGGAAGCAUAAUCGGGAUCGGCUUGUUUGAAUUUGUUAAGGGAUAAAAUCCAUGUUUUUCAUCUUCAUUCGAUGUGAUAUUUUAUCCCUGAGCAGAAAUUUUCCUUGAGAUUUCUUGGAAUUUUGUUUGGAGCAAUAGCUAAUUGUCCACUUGAGUUUCUUUUAUGUGAUCAUUGUUAUGCUCGUGCCUUCAUUAUUUUUGUUCGUAUGAAAUAAAAUUCCUUACUCUUCAUGGGGCGUUUGUUUCACUGUCGUAGCGUCUUGAUGAGAACUUUGGCUGACGUUUCACACAAUCAAAAUGGCCUAUCAGCUUCACAGAUUGCUUUCAAUGCGGUGAACGAACUGCAGACUGAAGACUUACCAAUGCGGUGAUCUCUUGUUUCGUCGUCUGGACCAUCUGAUGAUUUUAUAUUUAUUGAUCUUUCGUUCGGCUGAGGUUUGUCAAUGUGUAGCUGCAUGGAAAGGGAAGGGAGUCGAGACAAAAAUCCCAACAUUAUUGCUGGAGAUUUUGGACUACAGAUGAAGUUGAAAUCGAUUGUAAGUGUCGUAAAGUGAGACAUGCUUUUGUUGAGCUCCUUUCUUCUUUCUUUUCUUCCACAUUAUGGUCCAAAAAAUGUCUUUGACUUCAUCAUUUACUUCGACAGGGAUAGCACAGAAGACUCUUUGUCCCCAUCUAUUCGCUUUAAUCCAUAAAAAAGCAGAGAUAAAGUCUGACUUAAAGUUUUUUUGUGAUUAUUGUCUCGGUUGGCAGAUUUGAUGUAAAGUUAUAGUUCAUGACACCAUUGUAAUCUACCAUAUGUGAUCCAGAAUCAAGCUUGGGAAUCAUGUCAAGCCCAGUCUAUCGGACCUACUCCAUUUCAUUCAUGCUCUGCAUCAAAAUUUUAGGUAAAAUGCGCAUUACUUAUUUUCUUGGUUUGAUAUUGCCCAGCUCGGUAAGUCGGGCUCUCUUCUUAUGUUAAUUUCUUCUUCUUGAUGUACUCUUGAGAACGAAAUGAGGUAGGUGAGGAACUGUCGGUUAAACGAUUAGAGCACAUGACUACAAAUCAUGAUGUUGGGGUUUGAGCCCUUCCUCAUUCACAACCAGAUCCAAGGUGAAGUACCUUUUCCGUGUGGUAGGUAGGAAAAUCACGAUCGAGAUAACGGAUCAAAAGCUAUUUUUUAUUGCAAAAAAAUGUAGUGCUAUAGCACAAGUGACAGUUUACAUUUUGGAGUGAUAUAUUUAUUAAUCUUGAUUCUUAGCAGACCAAGAUGCCGUUGAGUGUCAGUCAAACGUUC